This 348-nucleotide transfer-messenger RNA is filed under the name Nitratireductor thuwali. Its description in RNAcentral is "Nitratireductor sp. 1536 transfer-messenger RNA, SsrA". It matches the Rfam family "Alphaproteobacteria transfer-messenger RNA". From Rfam's summary of the family: Bacterial tmRNA, also known as 10Sa RNA or SsrA, is named for its dual tRNA and mRNA-like properties. Its role is to liberate the mRNA from a stalled ribosome. The record is from RNAcentral. Lineage: Bacteria; Pseudomonadati; Pseudomonadota; Alphaproteobacteria; Hyphomicrobiales; Phyllobacteriaceae.
CUAUAUUGGGGUCGUCAGCCUUGAGCUGACUAUGGCGAUAAACGGCCGAUGCAAUAAGCCAUUCGGACCCGGGGGCGGUACCCGGCGCCUCCACCAGAAACCGCCGGCCCUUCAAGGAAGGACGGCUUCUGAUGGGGGCGAAAUAGGAUCGACGAGGGUGUAAAGAUCGGACUUUCGCUCGGCAUGGUACCACCGUUAUCGGGCUAAACUCUAUAGUUGCCAACGACAACUAUGCGGAAGCACGUCUCGCCGCGUAAGCGGUGCGAUAGCUUCAAAUCAAGCCUCAGGCCGUCGCAGGUCUGAGCGGGGUUCGGAGGCACCUGGCAACAGAAGCCUCCACUUCUCUCC